This 165-nucleotide ribosomal RNA is filed under the name uncultured bacterium. RNAcentral's name for it is "partial 16S rRNA". It matches the Rfam family "Bacterial small subunit ribosomal RNA", at positions 355 to 511 of the family's 1533-position model. The record is from RNAcentral.
UAGGGAAUCUUCCACAAUGGACGCAAGUCUGAUGGAGCAACGCCGCGUGAGUGAAGAAGGUUUUCGGAUCGUAAAGCUCUGUUGUUGGUAAGAGAAGGAUAGAGGCAGUAACUGGUCUUUAUUUGACGGUAAUCAACCAGAAAGUCACGGCUAACUACGUGUCAG